This is a long non-coding RNA of Siniperca chuatsi (mandarin fish), 933 nucleotides long. RefSeq lists it as uncharacterized. The transcript is spliced from 3 exons. NCBI's taxonomy places the organism in Eukaryota, Metazoa, Chordata, Actinopteri, Centrarchiformes, Sinipercidae. The record is from RefSeq and is a predicted model, not a curated record.
GGAUGUCAGACUGCUGAUCCAUCAGGGCCAUAGUUCCCUGCUGCCACGGACAUGGCCACUUGAGUUUGUGGUCGUUGGGGCCUGAAGUCAGGUGGAAGUAGGUGGCCAUGUACCCUGGACGGUCGCUUCUUCCGUUUAGAUAUUGAGAACAUCAUCAGCUGCCCCGGAGUUAUGGAGGAAGAACUGCAGACACUGGGCUCCAGGUUUGGGAUAAAGCCAACGACUCUCCAGGAAUGCACGGUCGCCGGGUUCCGCAGAGGCCGUGCUGAAGUGCAUGAAGUGGCCUUUUCCUGAGGGAGGAGACAGCAGUGGCACGUUCAACACCAUCUGGCCUGCCCUGCUGGGGAGCAGGGGCGUAGGACUGGGGGAAAAGGGGACUGAGUAUACAUGGCCCUCAUGUGAGGAGGGCCCACAAAGAUACUAGAAUGAAUAGCCGUGGAUGUGGGGAGGGGCCCAUGGAGAAUGCCUUUGUACAGGGUCCAGAAUUUUGUGCUACGCCCCUGCUGGCGAGCAAGCUGACAGCGAUGCAGGUAGACACUUCCCUGGUGUCCUGGAUUGUGAACUGUCUGACUGGUCGGCAGUUCCCCAGUAUAUUAGACUGCAGGUCUGUGUGUCUGACACUGGUGAGCAACACAGGGGCCCCACAGGGGAUGGUCCUGUCACCCUCUCUGUUCACCCUCUACACCUCAGACUUCAGAUACAACUCCAAGUCCUACCACCUGCAGAAGUUCUCUGACAACUCCGCAAUUGGACUGCAUCAGCGGAGGAAAGGAGGCUGAGUAUAGGAGCUGCUAUAGGACCUGCAGCUUGACACUGGUAAGACAAAGAAGUUGGUGGUGGACUUUAGCAGGCAGAAAACACCCCCUACAGGUAUUUCUAUCCAGGGGGUGGACGUGGAAACUGUGCCGGAUUACAAGUACCUGGGAGUACUAG